GACGGCUUAGCUCAGCAGAUAGCUGGUUUGGACCAUGACUGUGACGUGGGUUCGAAUCCCACAGUUGUCC
Molecule: transfer RNA, 70 nt
Organism: Puccinia sorghi
Lineage: Eukaryota; Fungi; Basidiomycota; Pucciniomycetes; Pucciniales; Pucciniaceae
Rfam family: tRNA
About the family: Transfer RNA (tRNA) molecules are approximately 80 nucleotides in length. Their secondary structure includes four short double-helical elements and three loops (D, anti-codon, and T loops).
Source: Rfam